Molecule: ribosomal RNA, 115 nt
Filed under: Danio rerio (zebrafish)
Lineage: Eukaryota; Metazoa; Chordata; Actinopteri; Cypriniformes; Danionidae
Source: RNAcentral
AGCUGGUUUGAAACUGUUAGGGAAGCUCAAGAUUGCUUACUCACUGAAGCUAAGCAAGACUGAGCCUGGUCAGUACCUGGAUGGGAGACCACAUGGGAAAAUCAGGUUGCUGUUG